AUCUUGAUGAGGACUAAGGCCAUGGGAACCUGGGUGGUCCCCAACGAGGUGGGAGUUACAAACUAUAUCUUGUUCUUAAUGUCAAUCAAGGUUAGUGCUAUGGAAUUAAGGUCCUAGACGAACAUUGGAUCUUGAAGAUAAGGCUGAGGAUAUGAAUAGCUUCUGGCAAGUAACCUAUGAGAUCACAAGUUUCCAAGUAACCAUAAGCUUAAUUAUGACACACAUUUACUAUCUUACUUGAUAGAACAUCCCACCAAUUUCUCAGAUUGAAUGUGUGGUUGACGAGAGGAUGGAAGGAAACUCAGAAUCUGCGACACAUUCACACAUGAUGACAUGCAGCUAAUCUAUCGGCGGAGCGAAUGCUGAUGUCAAGGUUAGUUUAGAAUAAAUGGCAUACUGUUCAGAUCAAGAGCUUGAUGUCAAGCUUAUAGUCAUAAACUCAUAUCUUGUUCGACAACUGGAAGCUUUUGACGACAUGGGUGUCGAUGCAUACAUAUUUUCCAUUGCCUGGCCUCGACUUAUCACCGACGGACCCAAGGAGCUGGUGUACUACAACUAUUUUAGACUUCCAUGUGUAUUGCUGGCAUUGUCUGCAGUAUAGCAUGCAACAGGGCAGGACUGCAGGAGACACAACUAUGACAAGCCUGAAGAUGAUUCAUGGCGAGUUGCAUUUUUUAUGAAGCUUUCUAACAUGUGGAGACGAAGAGCUGCCAAUAAUGUUAUGUGUAGUGUAAUUGUUCUAGCUAGUGGUAUAUAUAAAAGUGGAGAAGCGUCGCCUUGUUAAUAAGUUCUGACAUACAUGCCAAGUGAAGUCACAUGUCUACUGAUGAUCCGCUGAGCAUUUCUACACUGAGAUUCGUUUUACAUCACCAUCGCCUUCUUUCAAGUGCGGCUGGCUCGCUACUUCAAAGGUGGCAGACACCGUCACCCACCAUUGAAGAGGAUCAAACCUUGACAGAUGCGAGCUGUCAACAUGGGAUACCGUGAGAUUCGUCGGCAAAGAGAGUGCCAUUUGAAGAGGAUGGGAUCUAGGUGUGCAACUGUGCAUUGUUUUGGCCUCUCUCUGUUCUCUAGGCCAGGAAUUGUAAUGGUGGGCACCACGUUUUCAUUCGUCAUGUUUGUUACUUGACUAGUGUUUUCUCUGUUUGGUUAGAAUUGCGAGCCGAGCUGGAAUGUGUGUAUAUGAAUGUCAUAUGAGCUAUGUUGUGUGCACAUUAUUUUAUAUUGUUUGUUGAAUGUCCAAAAAGAGGAGAGGUGGUGCUGAAAAUUCGAGCAC
Molecule: long non-coding RNA, 1276 nt
Organism: Lolium perenne
Lineage: Eukaryota; Viridiplantae; Streptophyta; Magnoliopsida; Poales; Poaceae
Source: RefSeq, a predicted model, not a curated record